UUUUUUUUUUUUUAAAUUUUUUUAAUUUUUUUAAUUUUUUUUUUUUUUUAAUGAAAAGGUAGGCUACACCCUUUAAGUAGCAUGGUAUGUAUUUCACUUUUUUAAUUACUUUGAUUAGUAAAGGAGAAAAAGAAGAAGAGAAAAUUGAAUUACUAUUCAUUAAGUAAUAUAAUUCAUGAAGUUAAUUAAAAUAUUUAAUCAUAAUCAGUCAUUAAAUAAAUAAACUAAUUAAAAUAUAAUUGCUAAUUCAACUAAUUAAAUCUCCAAAUAUAUUAUGCAGUUACUAAAAAUAAAAUUUUUAUAAAUUAAUUAACCUAAACAUCCUAAGUUUAUACUUAUUUUUUAAAAUUAAGACCUUUCCCGACGAACUUUCGUCGGCAAAGAUAUUUUCGUCGGGGGAAACCUAAUCCGGCAAAUUUUGUCGGCAUAGAUCUUUGCCGACGAAAUUUCGUCGGGAGAAGUGUUCAUGUGUUUUUUUUUUUUUUUGAAAAGUAUAAAGUUUAAAAAUAUGGAUAUGUUUAAACUAGCAAAUUAAUAUCUAUAAAGUACAAGCUAAUGCAACUUGGAGGGUCCUUCUUUCUUUUAUUUAUUUAUUAAAUACUAUAUUUACAUAGUAUAGCCGUGCGGCUGUACUGUAUUUUUCUUUUUUAAAAAUAGUCUAGCCGGGCGGCUAUACUUUUUGGGGACACGUGGCGCCUAAUCGCUGGAGGCUCCUUUUUUAAGACCAAAAAAUAGUACAGCCGCACGGCUAUACUCGGUGUUUUUUAAAAAGUCGACACGUGGCGCCUUUUUUUAUUAAAAAUAGUAUAGCCGCACGGCUAUACUCAGUUUUAUUUUUUUUUUUUAAAUUUUUUUUUUUUUUUUUUUUUUUUAAUGAAAAGGUAGGCUACACACUUUAAGUAGCAUGGUAUGUAUUUCACUUUUUUAAUUACUUUGAUUAGUAAAGGAGAAAAAGAAGAAGAGAAAAUUGAAUUACUAUUCAUUAAGUAAUAUAAUUCAUGAAGUUAAUUAAAAUAUUUAAUCAUAAUCAGUCAUUAAAUAAAUAAACUAAUUAAAAUAUAAUUGCUAAUUCAACUAAUUAAAUCUCCAAAUAUAUUAUGUAGUUACUAAAAAUAAAAUUUUUAUAAAUUAAUUAACCUAAACAUCCUAAGUUUAUACUUAUUUUUUAAAAUUAAGACCUUUCCCGACGAAAUUUCGUCGGCAAAGAUAUUUUCGUCGGGGGAAACCUAAUCCGGCAAAUUUUGUCGGCAUAGAUCUUUGCCGACGAAAUUUCGUCGGGAGAAGUGUUCAUGUGUUUUUUUUUUUUUUCAAAAGUAUAAAGUUUAAAAAUAUGGAUAUGUUUAAACUAGCAAAUUAAUAUCUAUAAAGUACAAGCUAAUGCAACUUGGAGGGUCCUUCUUUCUUUUAUUUAUUUAUUAAAUACUAUAUUUACAUAGUAUCGCCGUGCGGCUGUACUAUAUUUUUCUUUUUGAAAAAUAGUCUAGCCGGGCGGCUAUACUUUUUGGGGACACGUGGCGCCUAAUCGCUGGAGGCUCCUUUUUUAAGACCAAAAAAUAGUACAGCCGCACGGCUAUACUCGGUGUUUUUUAAAAAGUCGACACGUGGCGCCUUUUUAUAUUAAAAAUAGUAUAGCCGCACGGCUAUACUCAGUUUUUUUUUUUUUUUUUUAAUUUUUUUAAUUUUUUAAAUUUUUUUUUUUUUUUUUUAAUGAAAAGGUAGGCUACACCCUUUAAGUAGCAUGGUAUGUAUUUCACUUUUUUAAUUACUUUGAUUAGUAAAGGAGAAAAAGAAGAAGAGAAAAAUUGAAUUACUAUUCAUUAAGUAAUAUAAUUCAUGAAGUUAAUUAAAAUAUUUAAUCAUAAUCAGUCAUUAAAUAAAUAAACUAAUUAAAAUAUAAUUGCUAAUUCAACUAAUUAAAUCUCCAAAUAUAUUAUGUAGUUACUAAAAAUAAAAUUUUUAUAAAUUAAUUAACCUAAACAUCCUAAGUUUAUACUUAUUUUUUAAAAUUAAGACCUUUCCCGACGAAAUUUCGUCGGCAAAGAUAUUUUCGUCGGGGGAAACCUAAUCCGGCAAAUUUUGUCGGCAUAGAUCUUUGCCGACGAAAUUUCGUCGGGAGAAGUGUUCAUGUGUUUUUUUUUUUUUUCAAAAGUAUAAAGUUUAAAAAUAUGGAUAUGUUUAAACUAGCAAAUUAAUAUCUAUAAAGUACAAGCUAAUGCAACUUGGAGGGUCCUUCUUUCUUUUAUUUAUUUAUUAAAUACUAUAUUUACAUAGUAUAGCCGUGCGGCUGUACUAUAUUUUUCUUUUUGAAAAAUAGUCUAGCCGGGCGGCUAUACUUUUUGGGGACACGUGGCGCCUAAUCGCUGGAGGCUCCUUUUUAAGACCAAAAAAUAGUACAGCCGCACGGCUAUACUCGGUGUUUUUUAAAAAGUCGACACGUGGCGCCUUUUUUAUUAAAAACAGUAUAGCCGCACGGCUAUACUCAGUUUUUUUUUUUUUAAAAUUUUUUUUUUUUUUUUUUUUUUUUAAUGAAAAGGUAGGCUACACCCUUUAAGUAGCAUGGUAUGUAUUUCACUUUUUUAAUUACUUUGAUUAGUAAAGGAGAAAAAGAAGAAGAGAAAAUUGAAUUACUAUUCAUUAAGUAAUAUAAUUCAUGAAGUUAAUUAAAAUAUUUAAUCAUAAUCAGUCAUUAAAUAAAUAAACUAAUUAAAAUAUAAUUGCUAAUUCAACUAAUUAAAUCUCCAAAUAUAUUAUGUAGUUACUAAAAAUAAAAUUUUUAUAAAUUAAUUAACCUAAACAUCCUA
This 2801-nucleotide long non-coding RNA is filed under the name Prunus persica (peach). RNAcentral describes it as "long non-coding RNA (PPER_LNC008712)". The record is from RNAcentral. Lineage: Eukaryota; Viridiplantae; Streptophyta; Magnoliopsida; Rosales; Rosaceae.